This 1261-nucleotide long non-coding RNA is filed under the name Astyanax mexicanus (Mexican tetra). RNAcentral describes it as "lncRNA (ENSAMXG00005012584.1)". The record is from RNAcentral. Lineage: Eukaryota; Metazoa; Chordata; Actinopteri; Characiformes; Acestrorhamphidae.
CCCUCCUCUCUCUCUCUUGCUCUCUCUCUCGCUCUUUUACUCUGGGUGCUAAUCAGCAUUUGAAAGGCAGCUUUGACAGUGAGAAAGAAAGUAAGGGCCAGUGAGGAGGAGGGAGGGUAAAUGAAAGUGAGCGAGAGAGACUGAGAGUGAGUGAGAGAGUGAGAGAGCGCGAGAGCAACAGAGAGAGAGAGAGAGAGAAAGGAAGAUUGAGUGAGAGUGGAAGAGAGCGAGAGAGAGUGGGAGAGAGAGAGACUGAGGCAGGGGCUGUACAAGCAUGCCUUUUAUAUUUACUAGCAAUUGAGGAGGAGAGAGCGCGAGAGCAGCUGAGAGGGAAAGAGAGAAAGGGGUAGAGAGAGAAAGAGGGUGAAGAGACAACCAGUGUGCGCAGCUUUCCCAAGAGGAAAUGAAAAGAAAAGGGCUCUGCUGAGAGAAAGAGAAAGAGAGAGCGCAAGAGAGAGGGAAAGAGAGAAAGAGAGUGGGAAACAGAGAGAGAGAGAGAGAGAGAGAGAGCGCACGCGAGAGUGUAUACUCUGAGUGUAUCUGCUCAGUCAAGUCAUAUCUGAGAAGACUCUGAGCUGGAUGGUAGGGAAAUACUGAGCGUGUGUAUGUGUGUGUGAGAGUACGAAUGAGUGUGUGAGGGAGAGAGAGAGAGGAAAAGAGAGAGAGAGGGAGAGAACGAAUCAUAGGACUCUCCGCUGUUACUGACGCACACACACACUCACACACACUCACAGACACUCUCUCCACAGACACACACACACUCAGACAAACAGCGGACGCUCUUUUGUGUGAGCAGGUCAGGAUUGUUCUGCAUCCAGUCUGACCCCCCUCACCCCACCACCACCACCAUCGCCACCCCCAAGAGUGUGCUUAGUCGUUCGUGUGUGUUCAUGUGUCUGCGUGUGUGCAGGACCUGGAACGCAGGGGUCUUGCUUAGGGGGUCCGUCCGGGUCCAGGCAGGGGGCGUCCGAAGAAGAGGAGGAGUGUAUUCUGGCACAGCUGCUCAACACAAGACAUGCACAUCAGCCCCUCUGCGGGAGGUCUGGGUCUGACAUAGCCUCGGCCAGUCACAGCCUGCUUUAGAGGUGGCCGCAGGAGCGGCAGCACCAUGGCGGCCAUGCCGUUCGUCACCGAGGGGAAGUGUGUGAGUGUGGAGUGGGACUUCCUACAAGGACUCCUCGCCAAACCGCCCACCCUGCCCUGGUAAGUCAUGCACACACACUGAUUUAUUGCCAGAUUGAUGCAUAGAGUAAGUAGAAGU